Long non-coding RNA from Plodia interpunctella (Indianmeal moth), 894 nucleotides. RefSeq lists it as uncharacterized. Lineage: Eukaryota; Metazoa; Arthropoda; Insecta; Lepidoptera; Pyralidae. The transcript is spliced from 4 exons. The record is from RefSeq and is a predicted model, not a curated record.
CUGUCAGUUAUUUAUUCUGUUUCUAUUCUUACAUAUAUUUGAAAAUAUUUUUAUUAUAAGAUAUUAGAUAGAGAUAUUUCGGAAAUGCCACUUUUUGCAAGACUCCCGUAUGUCGACCAUUGUUGCUGUCUGCCCUUGAAAACCGGGUGUAUUAUCAUCGGUAUCUGGUAUCUACUGACUGGUGGAGCUGUUGGACAUCAUGUCGUGUUCACCGAUGAUUACACCAACGUGAAAAUGGUUCUAUUUGAUACAGACAUUGAAUGGAGCAGUCAAAAGUACAUGUGCUUUGAGUGGAUUGGUGACAAAGAUUGUCCUCAAAGUGAUUUUGCUGGCAUUGUAUUUAAAACAAUCAUACUAUUUCUCGACGGUUUGUUAAUGUGCGCCAGCGCUGUUUUGCUAGUGGGAAUAUUUUUGAUCACAGACCUGGGUUGUUCGAUAUUUCUGUACAUCUUCCUUCUUUCGAGAAUCUUUGACGUGUUUGUGCUCCUGACUUUCCUUGCUAUGGGGAUAGUAAGCAAUUGCAAGACUACCGGGCUAUCCAGACUCUGCUGUGCAAUAACUAUUGUCAUUUGCGUCGCUGUGGGAGUGUACGUCCUAAUAGUUGUGAAAAGCUUUAGAUCGGCUAUAAGACGGUGGAACGCUUCGAUUGUGCAGCCCAAGUCUUACUGCGAACGCCCAGCGCCCAGGGGACACUCUCACGUACACAUUUGAUUUUCAACCACAUUAAUAACAAUAAAAUGGCUGCCGUCCUCAGCUUUAUUUACACAUAUAAUAUAGAAUUCAUUAAAAUUAAUGAGGAUCACAUGAAACAAUAUCACUACACAAGGGAACAGUAUUUACUGUUCCCUUGUGUAGUGAUAUUGUUUCAUGCAUAUACAUAAACAAAACUCCGAA